RNAcentral lists this ribosomal RNA (386 nucleotides) under Russula aff. alboareolata 339-20. RNAcentral's name for it is "eukaryotic LSU rRNA". The stretch from base 1 to 105 matches the Rfam family "5.8S ribosomal RNA", at positions 50 to 154 of the family's 154-position model. The record is from RNAcentral. Lineage: Eukaryota; Fungi; Basidiomycota; Agaricomycetes; Russulales; Russulaceae.
GAAAUGCGAUACGUAAUGUGAAUUGCAGAAUUCAGUGAAUCAUCGAAUCUUUGAACGCACCUUGCGCCCCUUGGUAUUCCGAGGGGCACACCCGUUUGAGUGUCGUGAACACCCUCAACCUUCUUGGUUUCUUGACCGGGAAGGCUUGGACUUUGGAGGUUUUCCUUGCUGGCCUCGCUUUGAAGCCAGCUCCUCCUAAACGAAUUAGUGGGGUCCGCUUUGCCGAUCCUUGACGUGAUAAGCAUCCUUCUACGUCUUGGGUCUUGCACUGUUGCCCUGGAACCUGCUUCCAAUGGUCUUCGAAAGGAGACGAUGUUCGAGUUGCAUCAUGACUCGACCUCAAUGACCUUGACCUCAAAUCGGGUGAGACUACCCGCUGAACUUAA